CACGUAGGGCGCAAGCGUUGUCCGGAAUUAUUGGGCGUAAAGAGCUCGUAGGCGGUCUGUUGCGUCCGCUGUGAAAACCCGGGGCUUAACCCUGGGCUGGCAGUGGAUACGGACAGACUAGAGGUAGGUAGGGGAGAAUGGAAUUCCCGGUGUAGCGGUGAAAUGCGCAGAUAUCGGGAGGAACACCGGUGGCGAAAGCGGUUCUCUGGGCCUUACCUGACGCUGAGGAGCGAAAGCGUGGGGAGCGAACAGG
This 253-nucleotide ribosomal RNA is filed under the name uncultured bacterium. RNAcentral describes it as "partial 16S ribosomal RNA". It matches the Rfam family "Bacterial small subunit ribosomal RNA", at positions 524 to 776 of the family's 1533-position model. The record is from RNAcentral.